GCCACGGUUUGCUACUCUGCUUUUUGGGCUCACAGGUGGGUUUAAUUCCUUGCUGAGUACACCUGGAGAGGUAGCAGGCUUGUUAUCACUGUCUGUCAGUCCCACCUAGUAGAAGGGUUCUCCUGCUAGAGAAUACUGAGCUGGUUGUAGUUACAGUGAAAUAUCAGGUGAGAUUCAAGGCAUAGGACAAGAUGAACAUACUCCAAAAAUAAAAGCAGACUUUGACUCAUGUUGUCUAGCAAGUCUCCGUAUAGUAAGCUAAAGGACUUCAGCCGAGGAACAACCUGGGCUUGUUUCCAAAGCACUUUUGGAGAGAAGUCACAGCUGCUUGCAGCAGUACAGAAGAAGACAUGCUCAGCUACACCCUUAUCAGGAUGUGUCUGUGAUUAUUAACAUCAGUGAUCUGCCUAAUUGAGAAAUUCAGAAAGAAGAAAGGACAAGCCCGUGCUUCAUUCCUUCUGUAGUUUUGCCCAAUGAGCAGCUUAGAAAUAAACCCAGC
Molecule: long non-coding RNA, 499 nt
Filed under: Anser brachyrhynchus (Pink-footed goose)
Lineage: Eukaryota; Metazoa; Chordata; Aves; Anseriformes; Anatidae
Description: lncRNA (ENSABRG00000018418.1)
Source: RNAcentral